This 499-nucleotide long non-coding RNA is filed under the name Homo sapiens (human). RNAcentral describes it as "non-protein coding lnc-P2RY2-7:1". Lineage: Eukaryota; Metazoa; Chordata; Mammalia; Primates; Hominidae. The record is from RNAcentral.
GGUGGCCAUUUGGGCAAACACCAAACUAGCUGCAGGAAUUCUUUUUUUCCAUACCCCAGUGGCACCGGGAAUACCAGUGAGACAGAACGAUUCACUUCCCCUGGAAAGGGGUGCUGAAGCCAGGGAGCCAAGUGGUAUGGGUCUGCGGGUCCCACCCCCACGGAGCCCAGCAAACUAAGAUCCACUGGCUUGAAAUUCUCACUGCCAGCACAGCAGCAGUCUGAGAUCGACCUGGGACGCUCGAGCUUGGUGUGGGGAGAGACGUCCGCCAUUGCUGAGGCUUGAGUAGGGUGGUUUUAUGCUCACAGUAUAAACAAAGCCUCUGGGAAGUUCGAACUGGGUGGAGCCCACUGCAGCUCAGCAAGGCUGCUGUGGCCAGACUGCCAGAUUUCCCUUCUCUGGACAGGGUAUCUCUGAAAAAAAGGCAGCAGCCCCAGUCAGGGGCUUACAGAUAAAACCCCCAUCUCCCUGGGACAGAGCACUUGGGGAAAGGGGCAGC